AAUAGAAAAAUAUAUAAACAGAUGCUGCUGAAAAGUUUCGUUGUAUAUAGAAAUGCUUUUUAAAAAUUCUGCUUUGCUGUAACCUUUCAAGAGCCUCAUGCAUAAAGAAAAACAUGUGACCCAUAGUCUUGCACUUACCAAGCCUUUGAUACUUAACCUUGGUUCAUCCUAUAGUUCAUUUUCUUUACCCUCACAUUAAUUCAAAUUCAUUUACAUCCACAUUAAUAAUAAAAAAAGAAUUUAAGUCAGAGUCUCAUUCCUUGUAUCUCAAGAAACACUGUGAGAAUAAUAAUGAGAACUAACAGGUGGUAAGUGCUUAUUAUGUGCUUGAUACAAACACAAGACAAUUAAAUCUAUAAAUUUAUUUAUGAGAUAGGGACUUUUACUACCCCCAUUACCAAUGAAGAAAUGAAGCAUCCAGAAAUGUAAAAAUUAAGUGAAGCAAUGCAGAUUUCCUUUGGUUGAGAGGCAGACAUCAAUAGCAGCAAUGCAAGAAUUUAGGUUGUCUAGAGAGAUGUGACGGUGAGUUGCACAGUUGAAACACUGGCCAUCAUCUUAGUCCUGAGUGAAGGCUUUUGGGGUGAAAAUAUAGUGAAAAUGACCAAAGAUCUUGUCCACAUGGGUUUGGACAGAAAAUUAGGAUCUAAGAAGUUAACCAAGAGAAUAUCACCCAAGGGGAAUUUAUAGAAUUAGAAAUUCAGGUCCUAGAAAGCCUUAGGGUUGCAGAUACAAAGAAGGGUAGAUUAAAACCCUGUCUCAGGGGAAUAUGCUCUCAGAUUCAGCAGGUGAUGAGUUGUGGGUGGAAGAUGAUGAGGCAUAAGAAGUACAUCUCCUGAGACCCAUGUUCAAACAUGUUGAUCUCCAGGGCAGGGCCAUGAAGUGUUCACUCACCCUUCCUUCCUUCCUCUCUUCCCUUGUUCCUCUUUUACUCCUUCCCUCCCUCCCUCUGUCUAUGUCUGUCUUCAGUUCUAUGGCUGGACUACAUUUGAGGCUUGUUCACCCAAAGACAUCUUGGACAAACACAUUCUUUUUCUGUCCCUCUGUGUCUUUCUCUGCUACUGUUGGAUUCACCUUUCACCAAAGCCUGUUGAGGCAAAAUGAGCUAUGGGUAUAAAAGUAGUUUAGUUCAGAUUACCAGAGUUUUCCUUACUGCAAAAUUCGAUGUUUAAGAACUGCUAAUAAUACAAAGUUAUAAUACUUUAUAAUUGUUCUUGUGAAUUUUCUUGCUCAAAUAUGCCACAGGAAGUAGGAGUGGCUGUUAGUGGGUUUCCUGUUCAAAUAUUGUCUAUGAACAUCACAGACUUGCUAUAGAAAUUGAGUAAAGUGCUCCCCUCCCCUCCAGGCAAGUGAGAAGGUUCAGCUUUAAGAUAAUUGAUCUGUGUCUCCAGGAAUUUGAGGGAGGCAGAGAAGUUUAAAGACUCAAGUCUGGAGAGUCUAGAUGCUCUGUUUAUCUUGUUGACUAUGUUGAGAACCAGCUACAUGCCCACUGACAAUAGGACCAUGAAGAGGCAUGAUUCUCAUGGGCCUCCCUGAGGAAGGGAGGAGCUCAGUUAGUUCUUCUUGAGAGAUGCUCUGUCCGGAAGUAUCAUUUGGAUGGAUAAGGUGACCCCAGCAGAAGUGUGGACCUCCUAGAAGCUGGGAGACUAAGACGGAAGUGGUGGUAAACUAAUGAAUACUGUCUAAAAUAGAGGACCAAAAGUGUCACAUACAGUUGCAGGUCUUUCUGGCUCUGCUCUGUGGGAUGCCACCUCAGC
Equus caballus (horse) is the source of this 1754-nucleotide non-coding RNA. NCBI's taxonomy places the organism in Eukaryota, Metazoa, Chordata, Mammalia, Perissodactyla, Equidae. The record is from RefSeq and is a predicted model, not a curated record.